RNAcentral lists this ribosomal RNA (460 nucleotides) under uncultured bacterium. Its description in RNAcentral is "partial 16S ribosomal RNA". It matches the Rfam family "Bacterial small subunit ribosomal RNA", at positions 338 to 795 of the family's 1533-position model. The record is from RNAcentral.
CCUACGGGUGGCUGCAGUGAGGAAUAUUGGUCAAUGGGCGCGAGCCUGAACCAGCCAAGUCGCGUGAGGGAAGACGGCCCUACGGGUUGUAAACCUCUUUUGCCGGGGAGCAACGGGCGCCACGUGUGGCGCCACUGGGAGUACCCAGAGAAAACGCAUCGGCUAACUCCGUGCCAGCAGCCGCGGUAAUACGGAGGAUGCGAGCGUUAUCCGGAUUGAUUGGGUUUAAGGGGUGCGUAGGCGAAGCGUUAAGUCAGUGGUAAAAUUGAGGGGCUCAACCCCUUCCCGCCAUUGAAACUGGCGCUCUUGAGUGGAAGAGAAGUAUGCGGAAUGCGUGGUGUAGCGGUGAAAUGCAUAGAUAGCACGCAGAACCCCGAUUGCGAAGGCAGCAUGCCGGCUUCCUACUGACGCUGAAGCACGAAAGCGUGGGGAUCGAACAGGAUUAGAUACCCCUGUAGUC